RNAcentral lists this ribosomal RNA (378 nucleotides) under uncultured eukaryote. RNAcentral's name for it is "partial 18S ribosomal RNA". It matches the Rfam family "Eukaryotic small subunit ribosomal RNA", at positions 592 to 976 of the family's 1831-position model. The record is from RNAcentral.
CAAUAGCGUAUAUUAAAGUUGUUGCAGUUAAAAAGCUCGUAGUUGGAUUUCUGUUCUUGGGAUCUGGUCCGCCUCACGGUGAGCACUGGAUAACUGGGGACAUCCUUUCGAAGGCGGCAGGUGCACUUGAUUGUGUGUUUGUUGAAUUCGGGACCUUUACUUUGAAAAAAUUAGAGUGUUCAAAGCAGGCGUCGGCUUGAAUACAUUAGCAUGGAAUAAUGGAAUAGGACUUUGGUUCUAUUUUGUUGGUUUCUAGGACCGAAGUAAUGAUUAAUAGGGACAGUUGGGGGCAUUAGUAUUUAAUUGUCAGAGGUGAAAUUCUUGGAUUUAUGAAAGACUAACUACUGCGAAAGCAUUUGCCAAGGAUGUUUUCAUUAA